AUCCCAUGAUGCGUACAUUUUCUCAUAAGGUCUUUAAAAUGCUGCAAAACAUCAUAUAAACUCUCAUUAUCCUAUAGAAAAAAACCAAUUAUUUCAUUUCUCAUCUU
This is a non-coding RNA of Gossypium hirsutum (cotton), 107 nucleotides long. Lineage: Eukaryota; Viridiplantae; Streptophyta; Magnoliopsida; Malvales; Malvaceae. The record is from Rfam.